This 146-nucleotide unclassified non-coding RNA is filed under the name soil metagenome. RNAcentral describes it as "partial internal transcribed spacer 1". The record is from RNAcentral.
UAAUAAGUGUUUUAUGGCACUUUUUAAAUCCAUAUCCACCUUGUGUGCAAUGUCAGUCGAUCUUCUUCAUGGAGAUCGACCAAACAUCAACCUUUAUCUUUUAACUCUUUGUCUGAAAAAUAUUAUGAAUAAACAAUUCGAAAAUA